CAAAUUUGAAAUCUGGCGUCUUUGGCGUCCGAGUUGUAAUUUGCAGAGGGCGCUUUGGCACUGGCAGCGGUCCAAGUUCCUUGGAACAGGACGUCACAGAGGGUGAGAAUCCCGUACGUGGUCGCUAGCCUUUACCGUGUAAAGCCCCUUCGACGAGUCGAGUUGUUUGGGAAUGCAGCUCUAAAUGGGAGGUAAAUUUCUUCUAAAGCUAAAUACUGGCCAGAGACCGAUAGCGCACAAGUAGAGUGAUCGAAAGAUGAAAAGCACUUUGGAAAGAGAGUUGAAAAGCACGUGAAAUUGUUGAAAGGGAAGCGCUUGCAGCCAGACUUGCCUGUAGUUGCUCAUCCGGGUUUUUACCCGGUGCACUCUUCUAUAGGCAGGCCAGCAUCAGUUUGGGCGGUUGGAUAAAGGUCUCUGUCACGUACCUCCUCUCGGGGAGAACUUAUAGGGGAGACGUAAUGCAACCAGCCUGGACUGAGGUCCGCGCAUCUGCUAGGAUGCUGGCGUAGUGGCUGUAAGCGGCCCGUCUUGAAACACGGACCAAGGAGUCUAACAUCUAUGCGAGUGUUUGGGUGUCAAGC
This 581-nucleotide ribosomal RNA is filed under the name Boeremia telephii. RNAcentral's name for it is "eukaryotic LSU rRNA". It matches the Rfam family "Eukaryotic large subunit ribosomal RNA", at positions 110 to 707 of the family's 3401-position model. Lineage: Eukaryota; Fungi; Ascomycota; Dothideomycetes; Pleosporales; Didymellaceae. The record is from RNAcentral.